This 253-nucleotide ribosomal RNA is filed under the name uncultured bacterium. RNAcentral's name for it is "partial 16S ribosomal RNA". It matches the Rfam family "Bacterial small subunit ribosomal RNA", at positions 524 to 776 of the family's 1533-position model. The record is from RNAcentral.
UACGUAGGGUGCGAGCGUUAAUCGGAAUUACUGGGCGUAAAGCGUGCGCAGGCGGUUUUGUAAGCCAGAUGUGAAAUCCCCGGGCUUAACCUGGGAAUGGCAUUUGGGACUGCAAGGCUGGAGUGUGGCAGAGGAGACUGGAAUUCCUGGUGUAGCAGUGAAAUGCGUAGAUAUUGGGAGGAACACCAGUGGCGAAGGCGGCUCACUGGACCGGAACUGACGCUGAGGCGCGAAAGCGUGGGGAGCAAACGGG